GCACAAGCGGUGGAGCAUGUGGUUUAAUUCGAAGCAACGCGCAGAACCUUACCUGGGUUUGAAAUCCUACGAAUCCUGCAGAGAUGUGGGAGUGUCCUUCGGGAAAUGUAGAGACAGGCGCUGCAUGGCUGUCGUCAGCUCGUGUUGUGAAAUGUUGGGUUAAGUCUCGCAACGAGCGCAACCCCUGUCCUUAGUUGCCAGCAUUAAGUUGGGCACUCUAAGGAGACUGCCAGGGUUAACCUGGAGGAAGGUGGGGAUGACGUCAAGUCCUCAUGGCCCUUAUGUCCAGGGCUACACACGUGAUACAAUGGUUAGUAUAGAGGGAUGCGAGCCCGUGAGGGGGAGCCAAUCUCAAAAAGCUAAUCUCAGUCCGGAUUGGAGUCUGCAACUCGACUCCAUGAAGUUGGAAUCGCUAGUAAUCGCAGAUCAGCACGCUGCGGUGAAUACGUUCCCGGGC
Molecule: ribosomal RNA, 457 nt
Filed under: uncultured bacterium
Lineage: Bacteria
Description: bacterial SSU rRNA
Rfam family: Bacterial small subunit ribosomal RNA
Source: RNAcentral